This is a non-coding RNA of Arvicanthis niloticus (Nile rat), 132 nucleotides long. Lineage: Eukaryota; Metazoa; Chordata; Mammalia; Rodentia; Muridae. The record is from RefSeq and is a predicted model, not a curated record.
CCUGCUUGUAGAGGCAGUACAGGUGCUGCUGGUGUGUAACAUGUAUGUCAGUAUGUGGCAGGGAGGAAAAAGGCUAUGUCUACCCUCAGUAUUCUGACAUGUCAACAUCUGAAUAAUUAAAAGCCUAAUAUU